AGAGUUCGAUUAUGGCUCAGGAUGAACGCUGGCGGCGUGCUUAACACAUGCAAGUCGAACGGAGAGCUUGUGACAGAGGAUUCGUCCAAUGGAUCAAGUUUCUUAGUGGCGGACGGGUGAGUAACGCGUGAGGAACCUGCCUUGGAGUGGGGAAUAACAGGUGGAAACAUCUGCUAAUACCGCAUGAAGCAGUUGGGCCGCAUGGCUCUGACUGCCAAAGAUUUAUCGCUCUGAGAUGGCCUCGCGUCUGAUUAGCUGGUUGGCGGGGUAACGGCCCACCAAGGCGACGAUCAGUAGCCGGACUGAGAGGUUGGCCGGCCACAUUGGGACUGAGACACGGCCCAG
RNAcentral lists this ribosomal RNA (345 nucleotides) under uncultured bacterium. RNAcentral describes it as "bacterial SSU rRNA". It matches the Rfam family "Bacterial small subunit ribosomal RNA", at positions 8 to 334 of the family's 1533-position model. The record is from RNAcentral.